ACCUGACUGCACUGGAAUCCUUCCCCUAGUCCAGGCAUAUUGUUCAGACCAGGCUGUAGGCAGCACAUGAUGGAUGGAUGGGCUGAGACAGCGAGAUCGCAUAAGCUGCAUUCCCCUGGGAAACCAGACUGAAAACACAUAAGCAGAGGGGCAGUCUGACAACAAGGCAUCUGACAUGGAAGUGUGGAUGAAGCAAAGGUGUGUCACUGAAUUCCUCCAUGUGGAAAAGAUGGCACCCACUGACAUUCACUGAAGCUUGAUGUAUGUUUAUGGAGACCAAACGGUGGGUGUGAGCACAGUGAGGUGGUGGGUGGUGCAUUUCAGCAGUGGGAACAGCAACAGUGGGUCACCUCUGCUGGUGCAGAUUUUGAGGAGUGCGGCAUACAGGCUCUUGUUCAUUGCUGGUGAAUGCAUAGCUGAUGGUGGUGACUGUGUUGAAAAACAGUGGUUUUAGCUGAGAAUUUGCCCUAUCAAAUAGUGUUGUUGUCCUCUUUGCUAUAAGUUCCCAUUAAAAUAAAUAGGAGGCAUUACUUUCAGAGUGGCCUACAUACAGAAAAACCAACUCUCAAGUUUCCUACAUAUUAUGAAAUUGCAUAAAGAACUAUGUGGAACUAAUUUAAUAUGUGCAUUUUAUAUUCACUUCC
Molecule: long non-coding RNA, 644 nt
Filed under: Gallus gallus (chicken)
Lineage: Eukaryota; Metazoa; Chordata; Aves; Galliformes; Phasianidae
Description: lncRNA (ENSGALG00010004806.1)
Source: RNAcentral